This is a long non-coding RNA of Aegilops tauschii subsp. strangulata, 4742 nucleotides long. RefSeq lists it as uncharacterized. NCBI's taxonomy places the organism in Eukaryota, Viridiplantae, Streptophyta, Magnoliopsida, Poales, Poaceae. The record is from RefSeq and is a predicted model, not a curated record.
CUCCCACCACAGUCGGUCAUGUCGGUUAAAAUUAUGGUCAAACUUGAAUCUCGAAAAGCGCGGGCGCACUACAUUACGAAAUGGAGGGAAUAUUAGUCAAUUAUGUCUCACCUUCUCUUUUUAAUUGACAUUGAACAUAUUUUUAGUUUUUGAAUUUGAUAUACUCCUCUGGUCCCAAAAUAAGUGUCUUAAUUUUAAUACAACAUUUAUAUACUAAAAUGGUUCGUGGUGGCACUUUCUUGUUUGAUAGACAUUUCUUUUUUUAGUGGUGUUUGAUAGACAUUUGAUUGAGUUGAGUUAAACACGUACUACACCGUAAGUAGUACCAUUGUUGGCUAAUCUUUUCACCUAAGCAAAGUUCCAUCUAACAACUAUCCAGACUAUCAACACAUGAGUGGCUACAUGUACAUAAAAAAUCAUAGUGUGGCUACAGGUUCCCACCAACAUGAACCUUCAUUUUGUCCUUUCUCGAGUGUUCUUGUCUUCUCCAUUUCCAAAAAAAGUCCUCUUGAACUUUGAACACCGUGGGAAAAAAGUCUUCUUUUCUUCUCGGGAGCUCCCGGCCAUGUAAAGGAUGAGCCAGCCUGGGUCCGCCGCAUCGCAUAUGUGAGGAUCACCUCGAAGCUCCCCUCGGUCUCCUCUCAUACUUCGUGGUCCUCACACACCUCGUGGCUGGGACUGCGCAUAGUUUGGUUGCCCGCGUGCCUCGUCGAUCUCCCGGGCCGUCAGCGGGUAGCAGGGCCCUGAUGUCAGCUGCCUGAGGGAGGAUUCGAGCCCGUCGAACUCGACGGCGCAGUUGCCGUUGGCUUCCAUUGAUGCGAUGAAGCCACAACCCCGCUUCAGCAUCGCAUUCUUCCACCUGCAGGUCCCCCCUCUCCAUUUUCCUUUUUCUGUCUUUGUACGACUGAACCAAUAUACUUUAAGGUAUUUCUUAACAGUGACAAAUGGUAUAUAUUGACUGCUAUUGAAAUGAGAUAGUAGUAAGUCUGGAUGCCCAACGCAGCUUAAGGCAAAUUGUUAAUUAGUUUAUGCGCCGUCCACUUUUUUCAGGGCCUGAGACCGGAAUCGCAGUUUGUGAUUAGUGUAUAGUGUAUUUGUGAUUAGCUGUAGUUUUAAUAUUUCCCAAAGACAAAUUUAUUUUAAUAACUAGGUAGUAAAAUUAGGUUUGAUUGCAUUCUACAUAUGAAAUAUAACGAUGAUCUGAUGCUCUCAACAUUGGCUUGACUAUAUAAUAAGCUUAAAAUAUCAGAUGAUGUAGAAUGUCGAUUGAUGUUUGGUAUUACUGAACUAUUUCCAUAAAAUGUUGAUGCAUCUUUCCAGUACUUAUCCGGAAUAGUUGACCAUCUCCGUCCUGUCAUAUCUUGUUAUCAUAGGUAAGUGAGUUAUUAUUUUGAAGGUAGUCUGCAGUGUACUUUUUUCCUUCAUGUACCUAUGAUUAUAUAUAAUGUAUAAAAGGCAGUGUCAUCCAUCUAGCAAUGCGAUAGAGAUGGCCUCUACCCCGGCGGAAGUUCAAGCCAACACCCACCUACUCCCUCCGUAAAUAAAUAUGAGAGUGUUUAGAUCAUUAAAGUAGUGAUCUAAACACUUAUAUUUCUUUACAGGGGGGGUACUUCAUAAGUAUGCAAGUAGCGGCGCGUGCUCUUUUAAAAAAGUCUUUGUUUCUAUCUGACCAAUUCCUUUGGUUUGUACUAAUAAUUGUACUGUAUACAUGCACUUAGCCUGAGUGCAUGGACCACUCUUAUGUAGUAAAUUCCCAAAUAGACAAUGGAUAAUGGUACAUUAGAGUAUAAAAUUGAUAAUGCAUGAUUAGUUGAGUGAAAUCGGUUCUGGCUCUCCAUGUUUGAUGCUGUGAAGCAGAAUAUGUGUAAAGCACUACCGAGUUUUUCUAUCCUGGCCAUUUUGUCCUGUUGUACAAUGGAGAUUCCAACAGUCAUACAGUCCAUUGUGGCUGCUAGUUAGUAGGUUAAUAGUGUAACCCCCCUUAAAAAUUAGUUCUUUUGUUUAUUAGCAGCUUCAUUCCUUUCUGUAUUAUAGUUUGAGCAACUCUUUAGAUAGCAAAUUCUUUGAUCUCAUUUAUUUGCUGUUUCUACCAAGUGUUUGUCCUCAUGUUUGUAGUCAUUCAUUGAAUAUGAAGAGCAAAAAAGUGAAAAUCCGAGUUGGAGAGGUGCAGGUCUAUCAUAAGGAUGUGUUCAUUUUCGGGAAUGAUUAGGCGGAGCAGACAUGUUACGAAUGUACAUCUUCAAUUGAGUACGCCUCCUAUUCAUAUCUACUGUUUUUUUACUAUGAUUUUCACAUCUAUUGUUAUUAUAAACAAAAGCAUAUUUUUUAAUUCUUUGAGACUGAAAUAAAUCUAAGUACAUAUGAGAAAGGAAGAAGAAAUAUCAAUAGAAUUUGCAGAAUUAAAUAUUAAGAUGAGUAACAUAUGCAAAAUAAAUCAAUAAUGAGAAUUCUGAACUUUUAUUUUUUUGAUAAAGUUUGUAGUGACAAUGAUGAUCGUUUGUUUGUGCAAAACCUCCAUUAACCAUACUUCCAAAAAGUUUUACCCAUAGAGUGAUCCCUAUCUUCUCACCACUGAAAGAAUUUAACCAUGUAAAAGUAAUGUAAAAAGUUAUAUAGAUAACUUUAAAAUUGCUUACAUAAUUUGAAUAACUUACUCUAGCAAAAGAACAUAAAUCUCGCUGAUGUUUGAAGUUUGCUGUCAUGGUGAAGACGAUUAAACCGGGCUGGUGGUCAGCUGAGUGGGCACAUCUCUUAGAAUAAGAGAGGGUAAUAGUUCAAUCCUCCAAAUUUUUAGAACUGGCCUGGUCCAAAACUUCAGUUGUAGAAAUUCUUUCGAAUUUAUAGAGGAAAAAAACUAAAGGACUUGUUUGUGAAGUUUUUCGGGGAGGUGCCGUUAGUAGGAGAGGAGUUUCAGAGUUUAGCCAAGGUUGCUUGACGGUGUUCCGUGGACUAUUCUUUAUCAGUUGCAGGACCUAAUUUAUUCUUCCCUUCAAUUGUAUAUGUGCAUGGUGUGAACUUUGACAAUGAGACAGGCAGAAUCACAUGAAGAAUGCUUUACCCUCAGUCCAAAAGGUUUAUCGCUGUUAGUUUCUAGCAGUUUGGGUGUAACCACGAAGUGAGAUGCAUUAAUUAUGUAGUUUUUAUAUUAAAGUUUAACUGCCUAUAUUAUGUACUUCAUAAGCAGACAAUCAAGAUACCUUAGAUAAUAGAAAGGAAGCAACAACCACCAACGUUUAAGAUCAAGAAAACAGUGCUUAUUGUGUCACAAGCGAACACUGCUUGUUUUCUCCAUGUCAUCAUGCAGACCUUGAGGCAAAGAGGUCAAUUAUAAUUUUGAUGUUUGUCAGGUGACUGUGAAAUUACUAUUCCUAUGUAGUAGAUACUAAAAGUUAUCUGAUUUGAGCACUAACAUAUGUGUGGGUGCAAAAGGAUUAGAAGAUGGUUAUGGGACAACCGUGAUUGUUGACCAGAAAAUAGCUAUUUCGAAGUUUGAUUAAGAAAGGCACAGUAAUCAACAUUUUGGGUACAAAAUUCUAUUGGCUGAGAUGUUCAUGGACACUAAUGGCCAGGAACCAAUACUUUAUUGUCUGAUGCAUAUUCUCCUUUCAUGUACCAUGCAUGUGACAAAAGAAUCAACUAGAUGAUGCUUAUGUAUAUUUUGGAAUCGAGUAUCAACUUCUAUGUGUGUUUUGUUAACAAUUAAUGAAUAGAACAAUUAUGGUAACAAAAAAAGAGUUGAAGAGCAGAAAACAAAAGGCUAUGCAUGCAAUGACCAGGCUAGGCCUGGAUGGUCUGAGAGAAUCGAUCAAGUACCUACGUUAGCUUUGGAUUUGGCUGUGGCUCAUGCUGCUUGUCAUUGUGUGAGCCACCUCGGAGGGGUCGGCCUGUGCCUUCCAGCCAUAUCUGCUUGUCGUCCUUUUUUUCUUUGCAUCCAUUGAUUCAAGACCAGAGAGGGGGAAGAACAUAGGGCUGAAACAUUGAGGCAAUGCAAGGUUUAGAGAGGGUUUACGGUCAUGGUACAGCCAAAAUUGAAACAUCAAUCAAAAGGAACACAUGUGCUAGCUAGAAUAUGUAUCUACAGGUUGCCUAGCUACAGCAGCUGGCCAUGUGCAUGAUGCAUGUCUUCGUGGCCGAUGGCGCUGAUAUGCAGUUAGUUUUUAAACAUGCUUGAUCAAUUCAUCACACGUACAAGCAAGCUGCUUGAUUGAAUUUGUCUGGGUGCAGUACGUGUGCGUGCACACUUGUAGGCUUAGGUAUGCGAUCUUGCUUUGGCCGGCUACGAUCGGAUCGAUCUUGAUCGGCGGAACAUCUUGGCGGCUUCUUUGCUUUGGCCGGAUACGAUCGGAUCUAUCUUGAUCGGCGGAACAUCUUGGCGGCUUCUUUGGACGGAACGUCUUGGCGACUUCUUUCGACGGAACGAACGCGACGAUGCAUCCUCAAUCCAAGAACGUGAAGAGAUAUGGACCUGAGGAGAACGUGAAGAGAUAUGGACGUGAGGUGUUUUUUUAGGGAAACGAUUAAUUACUAUUCAGUUAGAAACGUGAAGAGAUAGAGGCAUGAAUUUUUUAAUAUUCAGUUAGGAACGUGAAGGGAUAUGGACCUGAGAUGUUUUCUUAGGGAAGAGGUUUUUUUAGUGAAUUGGUAGGAUAUGUAAUGGCGAAGGUGGGUAAUAAAAUUUCCUUUGCUUAGAUCGGACGGCUGUAAUUUUUUACUCUAUUGAAUAAAUGGCUAGAUGUUUCUAA